GGAAGGUGCAUGUUGUUGUGGUCUGGGAUGCUGCCAGGUAGCUCUAGGUCAAGAUCCACUGCAAGAUGCUAUGUGCUUGUAUGGGUACUUUCCUGCUGGACUGAGAGGAUGUUGCUGCCAGACAAGGUACAUGCCACUGCUGUUAAGCUCACCCAUGCAACCAGAGGCUCUUGCUCAAAACUGCAGUCUCCUUUGAGUCUGGAGAGGCUGGCUCCCUCCCUCGCGCAGCUGACUGACCUGGGGAACGAAGCACUUCAAAACCAGCACUUUCCUUCCCAGCUGGGUUAAAUCUGACGAGGUCUCUCACCCCCUGUGCCCGGCCACGUGGUGCAGCAGGAGGGACGUGGAGCAUCCUCUGGCAUAUGGUGGUGGCACGAAGCGUGGGUGGUAUUUUGGUUUGGAUUUUGUCUCGGGUUCCCAUUCUCCGGGGGGAUUGCUGAUGUUCAUUAGCAGCUAAUUGGUGCUGGUGAGCUGUGACUCUUUACCCCAUAGUUCUGCAGCUACUCCGGCAGCAGCAGCUGAUUCUUAAUUGCUAAGUCUGAGUGAAGCUGUGGGUUCACAGAGAUUGCCCAAGCUCUGUUAUCUGCCUUUGCCUGACAAUUACACGUAGUUUUGAUUAGUAAAAUUUUGAUGGGUUUUACUGUUCUAUUUCUUUGAUGUUGCGAGAAAGCUUUAGCUGCGCUGCUGAGCCGCUCCUGUGAAGCGUGCCAGUGUUAUUGAGGCACGAGAAAAUGGGCUGGAGCUGCUCAGAGAGGUACUUUGCAAACCAG
RNAcentral lists this long non-coding RNA (770 nucleotides) under Numida meleagris (helmeted guineafowl). Its description in RNAcentral is "lncRNA (ENSNMEG00000013795.1)". Lineage: Eukaryota; Metazoa; Chordata; Aves; Galliformes; Numididae. The record is from RNAcentral.